AACGCGAAGAACCUUACCAGGACUUGACAUGUAGAUGAUCAUGCUAGAGAUAGUACUUCCUUCGGGACAUUUACACAGAUGCUGCAUGGCUGUCGUCAGCUCGUGUCGUGAGAUGUUGGGUUAAGUCCCGCAACGAGCGCAACCCCCGUGGUUAGUUGCAUAUCUAGCCAGACUGCCGAGAGUAACUCGGAGGAAGGUGGGGAUGACGUCAAGUCAGCAUGGCUCUUACGUCCUGGGCUACACACACGCUACAAUGGCCGGUACAGAGGGAGGCGAAGCCGCGAGGUGGAGCAAAUCCCAAAAAGCCGGUCCCAGUUCAGAUUGCAGGCUGCAACCCGCCUGCAUGAAGUCGGAGUUGCUAGUAACCGCAAGUCAGCACAUUGCGGUGAAUAUGUUCCCGGGCCUUGUACACACCGUACGUC
This 422-nucleotide ribosomal RNA is filed under the name uncultured bacterium. Its description in RNAcentral is "bacterial SSU rRNA". It matches the Rfam family "Bacterial small subunit ribosomal RNA", at positions 958 to 1398 of the family's 1533-position model. The record is from RNAcentral.